MicroRNA precursor from Setaria italica (foxtail millet), 200 nucleotides. It matches the Rfam family "MIR1435 microRNA precursor family". The record is from Rfam. Lineage: Eukaryota; Viridiplantae; Streptophyta; Magnoliopsida; Poales; Poaceae.
UAGGUUUGUCCUAAGUCAAAGUUAUCCAACUUUGACCAAAUUUAUAGAAAAAUAUAACAACAUCCAUACUACCAAAUAUAUGCUCUAUCAAAAUAUAUUCCAUGAUGAAUUUAGUGAAACAAAUUUGAUAUUGUAGAUGUUGUUAUAUUUUUCUAUAAACUUGGUCAAAGUUUGACAAGUUUGACUUAGGACAAACCUAA